RNAcentral lists this ribosomal RNA (207 nucleotides) under uncultured bacterium. RNAcentral's name for it is "partial 16S ribosomal RNA". It matches the Rfam family "Bacterial small subunit ribosomal RNA", at positions 568 to 774 of the family's 1533-position model. The record is from RNAcentral.
GGCGCAGGCGGCUAAGUCAGUCCGAAGUGGAAUCCCGGGGCUCAACCCCGGAAUGGCUUUGGAUACUGCUUAGCUUGAGUACGUGAGAGGAGAGUGGAAUUCCUGGUGUAGCGGUGAAAUGCGUAGAUAUCAGGAGGAACACCCAUGGCGAAAGCAACUCUCUGGCACGUCACUGACGCUGAGGCCCGAAAGCGUGGGGAGCGAACA